UGAGCAACCUGCCCUUGACUCUGAAUAACAGUUGGAAACAGCUGCUAAUACCGGAUGCGACCUCCGACGGCAUCAUCUGGAGGUGGAAAGCUCCGACGGUCAAGGAUGGGCUCGCGGCCUAUCAGCUAGUUGGUGUGGGUAAUGGCCCACCAAGGCGACGACGGGUAGCCGGCCUGAGAGGGUGACCGGCCACACUGGGACUGAGACACGGCCCAGACUCCGUAGGGAGG
This 230-nucleotide ribosomal RNA is filed under the name uncultured bacterium. Its description in RNAcentral is "partial 16S ribosomal RNA". It matches the Rfam family "Bacterial small subunit ribosomal RNA", at positions 118 to 348 of the family's 1533-position model. The record is from RNAcentral.